RNAcentral lists this long non-coding RNA (362 nucleotides) under Capsicum annuum. RNAcentral's name for it is "long non-coding RNA (CANN_LNC014352)". The record is from RNAcentral. Lineage: Eukaryota; Viridiplantae; Streptophyta; Magnoliopsida; Solanales; Solanaceae.
AAUUCUAACCGAGCAGAGACCUAACUUUGACACCAAUCUUUUUGCCUUAUAGAAAGAAUCAGAAACCUCCAAGCCGGGGUCAACUAACUCUUUAAUAAGGUCUAUCAUUGAGUCCAUUCCGCCUUUAGUAAUAUUCUAGUCAGAUGUAAUACUUAAUAAUCUAACAGCAGCAGAAAAAUGAGAGUGCGAACACCCGUUAAACAACUGAUGACUAACAGCAUGCAAUUCUUUGUAGAAAUUGCCCGCUUCGCUAUUAGGAGCAUUUUCAACAUUUUCCCUAAACUCAACCCCGUGUUGCAUCCCAAAAAUAUCGUGCACCAUUUCUGUCAUCCAAGUAUCUUGAUAUUCAUUAUGCCCUGCGG